UAGGGAAUCUUCCACAACUGGGCGCAAGCCUGAUGGAGCAACACCGCGUGAGUGAAGAAGGGUUUCGGCUCGUAAAGCUCUGUUGUUAAAGAAGAACACGUAUGAGAGUAACUGUUCAUACGUUGACGGUAUUUAACCAGAAAGUCACGGCUAACUACGUGCCAGCAGCCGCGGUAAUACGUAGGUGGCAAGCGUUAUCCGGAUUUAUUGGGCGUAAAGAGAGUGCAGGCGGUUUUCUAAGUCUGAUGUGAAAGCCUUCGGCUUAACCGGAGAAGUGCAUCGGAAACUGGAUAACUUGAGUGCAGAAGAGGGUAGUGGAACUCCAUGUGUAGCGGUGGAAUGCGUAGAUAUAUGGAAGAACACCAGUGGCGAAGGCGGCUACCUGGUCUGCAACUGACGCUGAGACUCGAAAGCAUGGGUAGCGAACAGGAUUAGAUACCCUGGUAGUCCAUACCGUAAACGAUGAGUGCUAGGUGUUGGAGGGUUUCCGCCCUUCAGUGCCGGAGCUAAACGCAUUAAGCACUCCGCCUGGGGAGUACGACCGCAUAGGUUG
This 553-nucleotide ribosomal RNA is filed under the name uncultured bacterium. RNAcentral describes it as "bacterial SSU rRNA". It matches the Rfam family "Bacterial small subunit ribosomal RNA", at positions 355 to 896 of the family's 1533-position model. The record is from RNAcentral.